GUAGGUGAACCUGCGGAAGGAUCAUUACAGAGUAUCAUGCCCUCACGGGUAGAUCUCCACCCUUGAAUAACAUACCUUCGUUGCUUUGGCAGGCCGCACUCGUGCCAGAGGCUUCGGCUUCUGAGUGCCUGCCAGAGGACCACAACUCUGUUUUUAGUGAUGUCUGAGUACUAUAUAAUAGUUAAAACUUUCAACAACGGAUCUCUUGGUUCUG
This 214-nucleotide unclassified non-coding RNA is filed under the name rhizosphere metagenome. RNAcentral's name for it is "partial ribosomal RNA internal transcribed spacer region". The record is from RNAcentral.